RNAcentral lists this long non-coding RNA (615 nucleotides) under Astyanax mexicanus (Mexican tetra). RNAcentral's name for it is "lncRNA (ENSAMXG00005008751.1)". The record is from RNAcentral. Lineage: Eukaryota; Metazoa; Chordata; Actinopteri; Characiformes; Acestrorhamphidae.
CUCACGCUGGUCUGAUGGUGAUGGAGGAUUCUGGGCUCUUUUAUCUCCUGCUGUGUGCUGGAUUUCUACUGGCCAGCAGUGAGGUUCUACAUGUUAAGGGACGAGAGGGAAAUGUGGUUAUACUUCGUUGUGGAAAACUCAGUAAAGGUAACGUAAUCUGGAGCAGAGAAAUUAACGGACAGAAAGUCGAUAUUCUGAAUAAUAAUAACGGACAGGUGACCCGAUACUCCGCUGGAUCAGAUGGACGUUACAGUUCUGGAGGAAAUCUAUGGCUGAAUAUAUUCAGAGUCUCACAGUCAGACGCUGGAAGAUACUACUGUAAUGGAGAAACAGUGGAACUGACUCUAAUAGGAAAUGGUAAGUGUGACAAUUAACUAAUUAAAACUAAAUGUAAUUACUCCUGAAACAAUACAAAUACUUUGUUACCAUACUUUAGUAUAAAUAUAGGUUAUCUACACUUUACUGCAGUAAUUAUUUUAACAUUUUCACACAAUUAUCUGAAAUUUCUACUCCUUACAUUUUAAAAAUAGCCUCGUUAUUUCUAUUUCAUUUCAGCUGGUUUUCAUUCCAGCUUCUCGUCGUUCAAUAAAACCCCUAUCCAGAUAAAUCUCUCCA